RNAcentral lists this ribosomal RNA (482 nucleotides) under uncultured bacterium. Its description in RNAcentral is "partial 16S ribosomal RNA". It matches the Rfam family "Bacterial small subunit ribosomal RNA", at positions 30 to 507 of the family's 1533-position model. The record is from RNAcentral.
AUUGAACGCUGGUGGCAUGCUUUACACAUGCAAGUCGAACGGUAACAGGCCGCUAGGUGCUGACGAGUGGCGAACGGGUGAGUAAUGCAUCGGAACGUGCCCAGUCGUGGGGGAUAACUACUCGAAAGAGUAGCUAAUACCGCAUACGAUCUAUGGAUGAAAGCGGGGGACCGUAAGGCCUCGCGCGAUUGGAGCGGCCGAUGUCAGAUUAGGUAGUUGGUGGGGUAAAGGCUCACCAAGCCAACGAUCUGUAGCUGGUCUGAGAGGACGACCAGCCACACUGGGACUGAGACACGGCCCAGACUCCUACGGGAGGCAGCAGUGGGGAAUUUUGGACAAUGGGCGCAAGCCUGAUCCAGCAAUGCCGCGUGCAGGAAGAAGGCCUUCGGGUUGUAAACUGCUUUUGUACGGAACGAAACGGCUCUGGUUAAUACCCGGGGCUAAUGACGGUACCGUAAGAAUAAGCACCGGCUAACUACGUG